This is a non-coding RNA of Pelobates cultripes (western spadefoot toad), 277 nucleotides long. Lineage: Eukaryota; Metazoa; Chordata; Amphibia; Anura; Pelobatidae. The record is from the annotation of a GenBank genome assembly.
GAGACAUCCGCUAGAGGAAUUGGAGGAAGGAUUAACCCAUUUGUAAACAUAGCAGUUUCUCUGAAACUGCUAUGUUUAUAAAAAAAUGGGUUAAUCCUAGCUGGACCUGGCACCCAGGCCACUUCAUUAAGCUGAAGUGGUCUGGGUGCCUAGAGUGUUCAUUUAAGGACCAGAGCUGUUUUAACACUUUUGUGGUGUUUGUGUUUAACUGUAAUUUUCCGCUCUCUCAUUUACUGUUCCCAUACAAAUUAUAUAUUGGGGGGUUUUUCAGGACAAA